RNAcentral lists this ribosomal RNA (449 nucleotides) under uncultured bacterium. Its description in RNAcentral is "bacterial SSU rRNA". It matches the Rfam family "Bacterial small subunit ribosomal RNA", at positions 958 to 1398 of the family's 1533-position model. The record is from RNAcentral.
AACGCGAAGAACCUUACCUGGGCUUGAACCGCCGGAAGUAGCUCUUAUGAAAGUUUGAGCGGACCGUAAAAUCGGUAGCCGGUAGAGGUGCUGCAUGGCUGUCGUCAGCUCGUGUCGUGAGAUGUUGGGUUAAGUCCCGCAACGAGCGCAACCCUUACCCUAUGUUGCCACGUCUGUAAUGGACAGCACUCUUAGGGAACUGCCUCGGACAACGGGGAGGAAGGUGGGGAUGACGUCAAGUCACCAUGGCCUUUAUGUCCAGGGCUACACACGUGCUACAAUGGCCGGUACAACGAGCAGCAAAUCCGCAAGGAGGAGCAAAUCUCUAAAAGCCGGCCUCAGUUCAGAUAGUGGGCUGCAAUUCGCCCACUUGAAGGCGGAAUCGCUAGUAAUCGGGGAUCAGCUGGCCCCGGUGAAUACGUUCCCGGGCCUUGUACACACCGGAGUGC